AUGGCCGUCGCCGUCGACGUCCGCGGCUCCAUCCAGCUCCUCCGCACCUGCGGCGCCGUGGCCGGCCAGCAGCUGCACCAGGUCCUCCUCAAGUCCGGCCACGUCCCGUCCUCCCUCCCGCCCUCCAACUCGGUCCUCCUCAUGUACGCCCGUUUCUCUCCGACCCACCGCCGCGACGCACUGCGAUUGUUCGACGAAAUGCCCGGCAGGAACUGCUUCUCCUACAACUCCCUCGUCACCGCCCACCUCAACUCCCGGGACCACGCCGAGGCGCUCAGUCUCUUCCGCUCCAUGCCGGAAAGGAACAACUUUUCGUGGAACGCAGUGAUCACAGGCAUGGUCUCUGCAGGGGAUUUGGACACCGCCCGCAGUCUGCUGGACGAGAUGCCCGUCAAGGAUGCUGUGGCUGUCAACGCUGUUAUGCAUAGGUAUGUCCGGUGCGGCCGUGUGGAUGAGGCGUUUGCUUUGUUCAGAGAGAUUGGUUCGGCACGCGGUGGUGCAGCGGACUCCUCGCCGUGCAAUGAUCUUUUUGUGCUUGCUACGGUUGUUGGUGCUUGUGCUGACCGGAUGAAGUACAAUUUUGGGAGACAAGUGCAUAGUCGAAUGGUGACUGCCAAGAUUGAACUGGAUUCGGUUUUGAGUUGCGCAUUGGUGGACAUGUACUGCAAGUGUGGGGAUGUGGACUCUGCUCGGCGUGUCUUUGAUGGUUUAGCACAGAUUGACGAGUUCUCUGUUUCUGCCCUGGUCUAUGGCUAUGCUUCCCGUGGACAGCUAAACAAGGCGUUACAUAUUUUUGAUAGGGUGGAGAACCUCAACAUUCUUUUGUGGAAUUCUCUCAUCAGUGGCUGUGCAUUUGCCUGCCUUGGAGAUGAUGCUUUUGCUCUUUUUGUAAGGAUGAUGCGGUCAGAUGUGUUGCCUGAUUCUUCAACGUAUGCCAGCGUUCUGAAUGUUUGUGGUUUUUCAGGAAUGCUCAAGUCUGGGCAGCAGAUACAUGGGUGUGGUCUAAAGAGUGGGACUGUCAAUGACAUGAUAGCAGCAAGCGCUCUCAUUGACUUCUACUCAAAAUGCACCCUCUGGGAGGAUGCUUGUCGAGCUUUCAGUGAGCUUAGGUUUCACGAUACUGUGGUGCUCAAUUCAAUGAUCACCGUGUACUCAAACUGUGGGCGGAUAGAAGAGGCGAAAAGAGUUUUUUCGAUGAUCACUAGCAAGAGUGUCAUAUCAUGGAACUCUUUGGUUGUUGGGUUGAGCCAGAAUGGACAUGCAAUUGAUGCCAUGGAGCUGUUCUGCAAGAUGCAUCGCCUUGGCGUGCGGCUCGACAAGGUUGCUAUAGCUAGUGCUCUGAGUGCAUCAAGUAAUAUUUGCUCCAUAAGUUUUGGGGAGCAGAUUUUUUCUCUUGCUACUGUUCUUGGCUUGCAGUCUGACCAUGUUGUAGCCUCUUCAGUCAUCGAUCUGUAUUGCAAAUGUGGCAACUUGGCCAAUGGUUGCAAAAUUUUCGAUGGAAUAUACAAGCCCGACGAAGUCAUGUGGAACUCAAUGCUAAUUGGUUAUGCUUCCAACGGGCAUGGACGCAAGGCACUAGAACUCUUGGAGCUGAUGAGAGUUAGCGGUGAAAGACCAACCGAACGGACAUUUGUUGGUGUCCUUUCCGCGUGCUGCCACUCUGGACUUGUGGAAGAAGGACUGACAUGGUUUAAGAAAAUGCAGGAGGAUUUCUGUCUGAUUCCAUCAGCUGAGCAUUAUGCAUGUGUGACUGACCUGUUAGUCCGGGCAGGUCGGCUAGAUGAAGCAGUUGAGUUCAUCGAGAAUAUGCCCUUUAAAGCCGAUACAGUAAGUUGGACUACAGUUGUUGGUGGUUGCAGAGCUCAGGGCAAUGAGGCUCUGAUCAAGAAGAUGUCAAAGAGACUGAAGCAGAUGGAGGAAUCAGGAUCACCACAUUCCAGUCUGUAUGUGCAGCUGUCCAGCGUGCUCGCUGCUAAAGGGGAUUGGGCCAAAUCAGCUGAAAUGAGGGGUAUGAUGCGUGAGAGAAGAAUUGCGAAAAAUCCUGGUUGCAGUUGGAUUGACAGUUAG
This 2067-nucleotide ribosomal RNA is filed under the name Triticum aestivum (bread wheat). RNAcentral describes it as "partial small subunit ribosomal RNA". Lineage: Eukaryota; Viridiplantae; Streptophyta; Magnoliopsida; Poales; Poaceae. The record is from RNAcentral.